AACGAACGCUGGCGGCAUGCCUAACACAUGCAAGUCGAACGAAGGCUUCGGCCUUAGUGGCGCACGGGUGAGUAACGCGUGGGAACCUGCCUAUUGGUGGGGAAUAACGACGGGAAACGGUCGCUAAUACCGCAUAAGCCCUUCGGGGGAAAGAUUUAUCGCCGAUAGAUGUGACCGCGUGCGAUUAGCUAGUUGGUGAGGUAAUGGCUCACCAAGGCGACGAUCGGUAGCUGUCUGAGAGGAUGAUCAGCCACACUGGGACUGAGACACGGCCCAGACUCCUACGGGAGGCAGCAGUGGGGAAUAUUGGACAAUGGGCGAAAGCCUGAUCCAGCAAUGCCGCGUGAGUGAUGAAGGCCUUAGGGUUGUAAAGCUCUUUCGGGUGGGACGAUGAUGACGGUACCACCAGAAGAAGCCCCGGCUAACUUCGUGCCAGCCGCCGCAGUAA
This 448-nucleotide ribosomal RNA is filed under the name uncultured bacterium. RNAcentral describes it as "partial 16S ribosomal RNA". It matches the Rfam family "Bacterial small subunit ribosomal RNA", at positions 29 to 523 of the family's 1533-position model. The record is from RNAcentral.